RNAcentral lists this ribosomal RNA (409 nucleotides) under uncultured bacterium. Its description in RNAcentral is "bacterial SSU rRNA". It matches the Rfam family "Bacterial small subunit ribosomal RNA", at positions 488 to 896 of the family's 1533-position model. The record is from RNAcentral.
AGCACCGGCUAACUCUGUGCCAGCAGCCGCGGUAAGACAGAGGGUGCAAACGUUGCUCGGAAUUACUGGGCGUAAAGCGCGUGUAGGCGGACCUCCAAGUCGGACGUGAAAGCCCCGAGCUCAACUCGGGAACUGCAUCCGAAACUGGCGGUCUGGAGUAGUGGAGAGGGAAGCAGAAUUCCUGGUGUAGAGGUGAAAUUCGUAGAUAUCAGGAGGAACACCGGUGGCGAAGGCGGCUUCCUGGACACUUACUGACGCUGAGACGCGAAAGCGUGGGGAGCAAACAGGAUUAGAUACCCUGGUAGUCCACGCCGUAAACGAUGAGUGCUGGGUGUCGUGGGUUUUGACCCCCGCGGUGCCGUAGCUAACGCGUUAAGCACUCCGCCUGGGGAGUACGGCCGCAAGGCUA